RNAcentral lists this ribosomal RNA (1589 nucleotides) under Escherichia coli. RNAcentral's name for it is "partial 23S ribosomal RNA". It matches the Rfam family "Bacterial large subunit ribosomal RNA", at positions 614 to 2188 of the family's 2925-position model. Lineage: Bacteria; Pseudomonadati; Pseudomonadota; Gammaproteobacteria; Enterobacterales; Enterobacteriaceae. The record is from RNAcentral.
AAUGGGUCAGCGACUUAUAUUCUGUAGCAAGGUUAACCGAAUAGGGGAGCCGAAGGGAAACCGAGUCUUAACUGGGCGUUAAGUUGCAGGGUAUAGACCCGAAACCCGGUGAUCUAGCCAUGGGCAGGUUGAAGGUUGGGUAACACUAACUGGAGGACCGAACCGACUAAUGUUGAAAAAUUAGCGGAUGACUUGUGGCUGGGGGUGAAAGGCCAAUCAAACCGGGAGAUAGCUGGUUCUCCCCGAAAGCUAUUUAGGUAGCGCCUCGUGAAUUCAUCUCCGGGGGUAGAGCACUGUUUCGGCAAGGGGGUCAUCCCGACUUACCAACCCGAUGCAAACUGCGAAUACCGGAGAAUGUUAUCACGGGAGACACACGGCGGGUGCUAACGUCCGUCGUGAAGAGGGAAACAACCCAGACCGCCAGCUAAGGUCCCAAAGUCAUGGUUAAGUGGGAAACGAUGUGGGAAGGCCCAGACAGCCAGGAUGUUGGCUUAGAAGCAGCCAUCAUUUAAAGAAAGCGUAAUAGCUCACUGGUCGAGUCGGCCUGCGCGGAAGAUGUAACGGGGCUAAACCAUGCACCGAAGCUGCGGCAGCGACGCUUAUGCGUUGUUGGGUAGGGGAGCGUUCUGUAAGCCUGCGAAGGUGUGCUGUGAGGCAUGCUGGAGGUAUCAGAAGUGCGAAUGCUGACAUAAGUAACGAUAAAGCGGGUGAAAAGCCCGCUCGCCGGAAGACCAAGGGUUCCUGUCCAACGUUAAUCGGGGCAGGGUGAGUCGACCCCUAAGGCGAGGCCGAAAGGCGUAGUCGAUGGGAAACAGGUUAAUAUUCCUGUACUUGGUGUUACUGCGAAGGGGGGACGGAGAAGGCUAUGUUGGCCGGGCGACGGUUGUCCCGGUUUAAGCGUGUAGGCUGGUUUUCCAGGCAAAUCCGGAAAAUCAAGGCUGAGGCGUGAUGACGAGGCACUACGGUGCUGAAGCAACAAAUGCCCUGCUUCCAGGAAAAGCCUCUAAGCAUCAGGUAACAUCAAAUCGUACCCCAAACCGACACAGGUGGUCAGGUAGAGAAUACCAAGGCGCUUGAGAGAACUCGGGUGAAGGAACUAGGCAAAAUGGUGCCGUAACUUCGGGAGAAGGCACGCUGAUAUGUAGGUGAAGUCCCUCGCGGAUGGAGCUGAAAUCAGUCGAAGAUACCAGCUGGCUGCAACUGUUUAUUAAAAACACAGCACUGUGCAAACACGAAAGUGGACGUAUACGGUGUGACGCCUGCCCGGUGCCGGAAGGUUAAUUGAUGGGGUCAGCGCAAGCGAAGCUCUUGAUCGAAGCCCCGGUAAACGGCGGCCGUAACUAUAACGGUCCUAAGGUAGCGAAAUUCCUUGUCGGGUAAGUUCCGACCUGCACGAAUGGCGUAAUGAUGGCCAGGCUGUCUCCACCCGAGACUCAGUGAAAUUGAACUCGCUGUGAAGAUGCAGUGUACCCGCGGCAAGACGGAAAGACCCCGUGAACCUUUACUAUAGCUUGACACUGAACAUUGAGCCUUGAUGUGUAGGAUAGGUGGGAGGCUUUGAAGUGUGGACGCCAGUCUGCAUGGAGCCG